Molecule: long non-coding RNA, 249 nt
Filed under: Elaeis guineensis (African oil palm)
Lineage: Eukaryota; Viridiplantae; Streptophyta; Magnoliopsida; Arecales; Arecaceae
Description: long non-coding RNA (EGUI_LNC022330)
Source: RNAcentral
CAUCCCCCAAUGGUUUUCCUAUAAUUUUUUUAAAUAUUAGUGAUAUUUGCUAAUAUUUAUACUAUUAAAAAAAUAUCAUGCCAUGGGUAUUUACUAACUGUCACUUUUUUAUUUGAUGGAUAUAUAAAUCAAUAGAUGAAAAUGGUCGAAAUAAAGAAAGGAGGAUCAAAGCUUUGAAAAUAAGAGAGAGCAAUAGAAAAGAAAGGACCAAAAGAAAAAAAGAAUGAUCAAAACUAUGAAAAUAGGAGA